RNAcentral lists this ribosomal RNA (404 nucleotides) under Verrucomicrobiota bacterium. RNAcentral describes it as "Verrucomicrobia bacterium partial 16S ribosomal RNA". It matches the Rfam family "Bacterial small subunit ribosomal RNA", at positions 355 to 776 of the family's 1533-position model. The record is from RNAcentral. Lineage: Bacteria; Pseudomonadati; Verrucomicrobiota.
UGGGGAAUAUUGCACAAUGGGGGAAACCCUGAUGCAGCGACGCCGCGUGAGCGAUGAAGGCUUUCGAGUAGUAAAGCUCUGUCCUAUGGGAAGAUAAUGACGGUACCUAACCAGAAAGCCACGGCUAACUACGUGCCAGCAGCCGCGGUAAUACGUAGGUGGCAAGCGUUGUCCGGAAUUAUUGGGCGUAAAGCGCGCGCAGGUGGUUUAGAAAGUCUGAUGUGAAAGCCCACGGCUCAACCGUGGAGGGUCAUUGGAAACUAAUAAACUUGAGUGCAGGAGAGAAAAGUGGAAUUCCUAGUGUAGCGGUGAAAUGCGUAGAGAUUAGGAGGAACACCGGUGGCGAAAGCGGCUUUUUGGCCUGCAACUGACACUGAGGCGCGAAAGCGUGGGGAGCAAACAGG